UACGUAGGGUGCGAGCGUUGUCCGGAAUUAUUGGGCGUAAAGAGCUCGUAGGCGGUGUGUCACGUCGUUCGUGAAAACCUGCAGCUUAACUGUGGGCGUGCGGUCGAUACGGGCAUCACUGGAGUUCGGCAGGGGAGACUGGAAUUUCUGGUGUAGCGGUGAAAUGCGCAGAUAUCAGGAGGAACACCGGUGGCGAAGGCGGGUCUCUGGGCCGAUACUGACGCUGAGGAGCGAAAGCGUGGGGAGCGAACAGG
This 254-nucleotide ribosomal RNA is filed under the name uncultured bacterium. Its description in RNAcentral is "partial 16S ribosomal RNA". It matches the Rfam family "Bacterial small subunit ribosomal RNA", at positions 524 to 776 of the family's 1533-position model. The record is from RNAcentral.